UUCGAUAAAGUAUAUACCGAAUUUCGCAGGUCUGUACCUCGGUACAGAUUGGUAGGGGAGCGUUGAGCUUGCAAAGAAGGGGAACUGUAAGGGACCCUGGAGCGUGCUCAAGUGAGAAUGCAGACAUGAGUAGCCAAAAUUGCGGGAAGCCCGCAAUCGCCGUAAGUCCAAGGGAUUCUGGGGAAGGAAAAUCCUCCCAGAUUUAGUCGGCACUAAGGGGCGUCAGUUUGACGCUUCGAUGAACAAGAGUUCAAUAUUACAAUACCAAUUGUUCUUCAUACAGGCUGGUACGUGAACGGCAGCGUGGGCGGGACACAAAUUACCGUCCCUAACGGGUUAAGUUGUCCUCGGACAACUGUGUCAUGCUAACCGUUUGCGCAAGAAAAGCCUACCUGUUUUUUGCAAUUGACCGUACCUAGAACCGACACAGGUGGACGGGCGCUAAUGUGCCCAGGCGAUUUGGUUAAACCUUGCUAAGGAACUCGGCAAUCUAGCCUCGUAACUUCGGAAGAAGAGGCGCCACGCAAGUGGUCUCAGUAAAAUGGGUCAACCGACUGUUUAACAAAAACACAGCACUCUGCAAAGUUUCAAUACUAAGUAUAGGGUGUGACACGUGACCAAUGCGGAAAGAUUACAAUGCGAGGUUAGCAGCAAUGCGAAGCUUCAAGUUCAAGUCCCCGUGAAUGUCGGCCGUAACAAUAACGGUCCUAAGGUAGCGAAAUUCCUUGUCGGGUAAGUUCCGACCUGCACGAAUCGUGUAACGAGUUGACCGCUGUCUCAGCAAGGAGCCUAGCGAAAUUGUAUUGGCGGUGAAGAUGCCGCCUACCUGCAGCAGGACGGAAAGACCCUAUGCACCUUUACUGUAAGCUGUAACUGAUCUCUCGAUGUUAUUGCCGAGCGUAAGUGGGAGACUGCGAAGCCGCUCUUUCGGGGGCGGCAGAGUCGCCAAUGAAACACCACUCUAUAACCUCAAGCGUUCUAAUCAUUCGUGAAACAAUUGCAGCCGGUCAGUUUUACUGGGGCGGUAUCCUCCUAAAGAGUAACGGAGGAGUGCGACGGUUGGCUCAGUUCGAUUAGUAACCGAACAACGAGUAUAUAGGCAUAAGCCAGCCUAACUGCGAGACCUACAAGUCGAGCAGAUGCGAAAGCAGGCCUAAGUGAUCCGGUGGUCAAAUGUGGCAUUGCCAUCGCUCAACGGACAAAAGGUACGCUAGGGAUAACAGGCUGAUCGAGCCCAAGAGCUCAUAUCGACGGCUCGGUUUGGCACCUCGAUGUCGGCUCAUCACAUCCUGGGGCUGCAGAAGGUCCCAAGGGUCCGGCUGUUCGCCGGUUAAAGUGGUACGCGAGCUGGGUUCAGAACGUCGCGAGACAGUUCGGUCCUUAUCCGCUGUGGGCUGUAAUGCAUGAGGGGUUUAGAUUCUAGUACGAGAGGACCGAAUCUAGUGGACCGCUGGUGUACGAGUUGUCGCAUUUGCGGCAUUGCUCUGUAGCCAAGUCCAGAUUAGAUAAGCGCUGAAUGCAUCUAAGCGCCAAGCUAUUCCCAAGAUUGUGCAUUUUAAGGCCGUGGUAGACGACCACGUUGAUAGAUGCGAAGUGUAUGCCCUAAAGGACAGCUUACGCAUACUAAUCGCCUGAA
RNAcentral lists this ribosomal RNA (1636 nucleotides) under metagenome. RNAcentral describes it as "bacterial LSU rRNA". It matches the Rfam family "Bacterial large subunit ribosomal RNA", at positions 1177 to 2915 of the family's 2925-position model. The record is from RNAcentral.